GAAUUUUAUAUAGAUUUAAUUAUUUAGAUUUAGUUAAUAAAAUAAUUAAAAUAUAUUUAGUUGGGAGGAUGAUUAAAUUAAAAAAACUUUAAUUAUUUUAUAAUAUAAAUUAAUAGAUUUAAAGAAUGGUUAAUAAAUUGAAUAAGAAUUAAUUACCUUAGGGAUAACAGCGUAAUAUUUUUGGAGAGUUCAUAUUAAUAAAAAUGUUUGC
This 211-nucleotide ribosomal RNA is filed under the name Crematogaster raptor. RNAcentral describes it as "partial large subunit ribosomal RNA". The record is from RNAcentral. Lineage: Eukaryota; Metazoa; Arthropoda; Insecta; Hymenoptera; Formicidae.